Arabidopsis lyrata subsp. lyrata is the source of this 89-nucleotide microRNA precursor. It matches the Rfam family "MIR173 microRNA precursor family". The record is from Rfam. Lineage: Eukaryota; Viridiplantae; Streptophyta; Magnoliopsida; Brassicales; Brassicaceae.
UAAGUACUUUCGCUUGCAGAGAGAAAUCACAGUGGUCAAAAGUUAAAGUCUCUUUCCUCUGUGAUUCUCUGUGCAAGUGGAAGAGCUUG